AGAAAAACACACAGAUGGAAGAAAGAAAAAACAAGCAAACAGAAAAUAGUGAAGCCAAAUGCUCCAGUUAUUGUUCAAACUUCUCCAGCUUGAGCUUUAAGAUGGAUUUGUCAAAUUUGGAGGGAACUGCAUUCACUUUUGGAGGCAGCAGACCUGUCUUUAUCCACAGUUCUCACGGGGAAUGGAUGGGAGCAGUCCCAACCCAUGCUGUCUUCUGAUGGGCUGUGACACCAACUGGAGAAUGAGAUGAAAUGGCUUGCUCAAAAUUACCUUGGAGAUGAGGGGCAGAGUCUUUGGAGGAAAUGUGAUCCAGGAAUUUCCAGCCUGUUGGAUCAGACAUCACACAGCACUUAGCCAUCCUUUCAGUGCACACUGUGUGGCUUAGCCACACGGACAAGAUACUGAGGUUUAUAGACAUCUGCAGUGGAUAUUCUGUAUGUUUCAUAAGGACAGGAACCCUCUUGGCUUCUAAUUUGGAGGAGAGGAGCCUAAAUUCUGAUCCUGUUCUACUACUACCCACAAAGCGUAAAGCUGAAAACCUGUUUUCCAAGCUGUUACAGGUUGCUUGUGAAUGCCGUUUUAUGAGGGAGCACAUAUCAUUUCCUAUAACAAAAUAACGGACAAAAAAAAAAAAAAAAAGCUUUGCAUGGCUGGCUGUUUAUUAGAGGCAAGAUUAGGCUGACAUUUUGAAAAUAAUAAUAAUAAUAAUAAAAAUGAUCAAACUACAAUAAAAACA
RNAcentral lists this long non-coding RNA (736 nucleotides) under Anas platyrhynchos platyrhynchos (common mallard). Its description in RNAcentral is "lncRNA (ENSAPLG00000021884.1)". Lineage: Eukaryota; Metazoa; Chordata; Aves; Anseriformes; Anatidae. The record is from RNAcentral.